This is a long non-coding RNA of Cebus imitator (Panamanian white-faced capuchin), 504 nucleotides long. RefSeq lists it as uncharacterized. The record is from RefSeq and is a predicted model, not a curated record. Lineage: Eukaryota; Metazoa; Chordata; Mammalia; Primates; Cebidae. The transcript is spliced from 3 exons.
AGAUUUGAAGACAUUAAACUGGGACAUUGGCGUGACUGACUGAUAUAAACAGAGUCUGUCACAUCCCUGGCUGCUGUUGUCACUGGGUUGCAGAAUGAAGUGUCGUUAGUGAGUGUUAGCACAGACCAAUGAUCAACAAAGGGUUCUAAUAUUAACCCAGUUUCCUGUCUCCUGCAGUGGCUCCAUUUAAAGAAAGUCAAGUGCUUCAAUAAUGGAAUUGACAAAUGAUGGAUCUACCUAUUGAUACCAGUUUGGAUUCCCUGGGAAGUAAACUCUGAAGUGGUGAUCAGUGUGCAUGAAGCUUUUUAGGGAAGACACUUGGGACCAACCCAUGCGGAAGGGAGGGCAGAAAGCGCAGUGAGGCAGAGGGAGAAGCUGGGCUCUCUCGAAGUCUCAACAAAGGCCUCAGCCUGCCCCAUGGACACCCAAGGAUGACUAUUCAGAGUUGCUCUGAUUUGGAGCAAGGUUGUGGGCCUUCAUCCUCUUCCUUCAACCAACUGGAAA